UUUUUUUUUUUUUUUUUUGGGUAAUAAAAGAUUGCAUAAAUAAAAAUUUUAAGUCCGUACAUCACAUAUUUGUUUGGGAUGGAAGGACCCCUUAAAUCACCACACAAAAUAGUUCGUAGCUGAGGAGGACAGUUAUGAUAAGAGUGAAAAAGUCGACAAAAAGAUUUCCAUCCUCAAAUCAUCACAGCCGUUGCAUUUUGCAUCAUUUUGACCUUUCUUCCUCAGCUCAACUGCACGAAGAACGAAUGAGCAUUGUAUUUGACGAUAGCCAUCUUAUUUUACCGGUUAAAGAGUCAAAGAACAAAAAAUAAUAAUAAUAUAAUAAUAAAAGACAGAGCAAGGCAAACACUUGUCGAGUUUUAAAGGUGUUGAAGGCUUGUUUGGGGAGUUAUUAGUGUCAAAAGCUCUUAUUAUUAUUCAGUACUAAUACACAAAGGAUGGUCCUCGAUCUUGGUUUUAAAAUUUCUCAUACAAAUUCUAUUAAUCUUUUUUUCUUGUGCACCAAUUUUAAAAGUAUCUGUUGGUGUACAUUAUUACCUUACUCUUGGAAGCCCAUGCGCAUAAAAAAAAAAAAAAAUUUUUUUUUUUUGGAGCUCAGGCGUUCAACAGUAUCCUCGAAAGAAUUGAUUGUAUAAGAUCAGUAUUUUUGGAGUAGUACUUACGUAGACGAGAUAUAACCAGCAGAGCAGAGAAGAAACCAAAUAAAUAAGAUAAAGAAAUGAUAUAUAUAUAUAUAUAUAUAUGCAGAUAACGUUUCAGUAAUAGAAGGAUUUGAUUUAUUAAACGAUCACAAGAAAAAUUAACGUUAGAGAGUGAAAAUAUCAAGGCAACUAACGAGGUUGAUAAUUCCAUGUGCACUAGAUUCAUGAUUCUCGCAAGACAUAUUGGAAAAGGACGAGAGGGCACUGAUCGAUCGAUCGAGGAUGUUAAAUAGAAGCUAGCAAUUCCGAAAGAGAAGGCCUAUAAUGAUGAGAAGCGUCUGUCAAAUGAGCAAGGACGACUUGCCACCAUAUCAAAAUCAGAAAGGCUUUGAACGUACGCAGGCAGUAGGAGGCAAGUCAUCCUUGUUGGCGAUGAAACCAGAGUCUCCUCCCCAUUUUAGGCCAAUCAGAGUCUUUCUACCAAAAUGUUGAUCCAAUUAAGCCAGAAGAAGUACGUCUAUUUUCUGAACGCAAUUGAUCGAAUUGCUCAAUAUUCAAGACUGUACCUGAGGAGGCGAUUUUUGGUUGGUAACUAGACCGACCUGGAUCAGUCCUCUCUGAGAUGAAGUGAGGUGAACUCCUGUGUCCGAAGUGAACCUCCUUGUCCGAAGUGAGUGGCGGGGCUUCUCCCCUGGUAUCACUCCGACGAUCAAGUUAGUAUGAGAACGAGAAUAAUGAGAAUGAGUUAAUGAACAGUGUAUGCUUACUUGUUGGGAGUGUGAGUGAGGUAUUUAUAGAAGAGAGGUGGUCAAGACGGAAGGCUCAUGCUAGCGGGACCCACUCUCUGGCAUUACGGCUCUGUCUCCUGUCAGGAGGUCUGACUCUGACACUGUAGCCGCCUGGGAGUGAUGACGGAGGAUAUGGUGCAGGUGCCAUUAAGUGCCUCCAGUGCUUUUCAGAUAAAGUGCUGGUCCUGGAUGAUGUCAGGUGGGUUGACAUCAUCAGCGUGCAGCCGAGGUGGAUGUGCCGAGGUCACCUACACGAUGGACUAGGGAUGAAGCCGAGCUCUGGGGUUGUGCUCAAGACAGGGAUGAGCUCCGAUGAGGGACGAGACUUGUGUUCACCUCGGACACCCGCGUGUCCGAGGUGAGCAUCCUCAAUAAGCCCCCCAAGCCUCGGGAGCUUCGGGCCAGGGAGGUACCGAGACUUCCUUCUGCCGAAGUCGUGAAGAGUCAGUGUCCCGAGCCUGCUCCGGAAGGUGCGGGGACGUGACACGUGGGCAUGUCAGUUGAAGGGACCUGGAGAGUGAGUCGGCACGUAACCGUCACGUCGUGAAGUAGUGGGACGUUUCGUGCAGAGAGUGUCAGUUACAACGAGGACUCCAAGGAGUUGUGUGACCGGAUGGCUGAGGACCUCCAAGCUGGAAGGAACCUGGCCGAGGUCCUGGCCGAGUUCAACAAAUGGCUGUCCGAACUCGACGAAGUGUUCGAGGAGGUUGAAGAGGAAGAAACUGGAAGAGAGGAUGCCGAGGGAGACGAAGCCGGAGGGGGCGAAGCCGGAGGGGACGUCGGCAAAGAGCCUGGAGAUGAAGUUCACCCCGGCGGAAAGGAGACCGAAGAGAAAGAUGCCCAGGAGGGAGCCAAGACCGGGAUUGGAGCCGAUACGGGGAUGUAGGCUCGUAGGCUCUAAAGGGGUGGCCGAGGUGAAGAGUGUUUAGUAGCACUCUGACCUCGGCCUUGUAUUUUUUUUAACACUUCUGUUGAAUGAAAGUCUAUUUCUUCUCAUCUCAGCUCUUUAAUUUCUUGCUUUGCUUUGACUUCAUCCCUUGCUUGUCCCCCUUAUUUUUUGAUAGCGUAAUAACCCUAUUGUUCUCAGGUCGUUAGCCGAGGUGGUAAAACGGGCAGAUACCACCUUGAUUUAUAAUGGGCCGAGGUGGCCUUUCGGGAGGUGCCACUGAGUAAGGCCGAGGUGGCCCUGCGGGAGGUGCCGCUGAUUAAGGCCUAAGUGGCCCUGCGGGAGGUGCCACUGAGGAAGGCCUGCCACUGAUUAAGGCCGAGGUGGCCCUUCGGGAGGUGCCUGAGUAAGGCCGAGGUGGUAAAACGGGCAGAUACCACCUUGAUUUAUAAUGGGCCGAGGUGGCCUUUCGGGAGGUGCCACUGAGUAAGGCCGAGGUGGCCCUGCGGGAGGUGCCGCUGAUUAAGGCCUAAGUGGCCCUGCGGGAGGUGCCACUGAGGAAGGCCUGCCACUGAUUAAGGCCGAGGUGGCCCUUCGGGAGGUGCCGCUGAAUAAGGCCUAAGUGGCCCUGCGGGAGGUGCCACUGAUUAAGGCCGAGGUGGCCCUUCGGGAGGUGCCACUGAGGAAGGCCUGCCACUGAUUAAGGCCGAAGUGGCCCUUCGGGAGGUGCCGCUGAGUAAGGCCUAAGUGGCCCUGCGGGAGGUGCCGCUGAGGAAGGCCGAGGUCGGCCCCUGCGGCUCAGCUCGGCUGACUGAAUUUUUCCUCAGAACCAAGUCUCCAGGCUGGAAUUGAGCGGUGUCAGCUCAGCGUCCGAGGUGGACGAUCUUCCUUUCACUAUUCGAUCGAAAAUACUCCGGCGGUCCCGGAGUUGGGUUGAAGUGCCACUUGGGCCGGGUUCACCUCGGCCGAUGUCUCUCCUCCGGGGAUCUGGCCCCGUACGAGAUGCUUGGGCUUCUCGCUUCAUGCGAUUCACAUCUUCACUUCGGAUUCCCUGAUCCACUCUUUCCCAGAGUUCGUGAAGUGUACGGGGGUAAUCCCGAUGAAUUUCGGUGUUGAAAAGUCCGGCCACCAACCCGUUGGUAAAGGCCGCGAGAGUUACCUGCUCAUUCUGAUCAGGUAUUUGCACAUUCUCCUCGUUGAACCUCUGAGCAUACGAGCGAAGAGACUCGCCCUGACCCUGUUGAAGGUUCAAGAGAUAAACUGAAGUCUUCGUGAUUGGUCGAGACGACACGAAGCGGUGGAUGAACCGGUCUAUCAGCUCAUCCAGGGAGGAAAUGCUCCCCGGUUCCAAACUCCAGAACCACUUCCGGGCAGUCCCAUGUAGGAAAAUGGGGAAAGCCCGACAAAUCACGGCGUCGGGGACACAGUAGAGUCGGAAUGCGGAGAUGAAGGCGCGGAGGUGAUCCUCGGGGUCACCUCGGCCGUCAUAGGUGGGCAAGUUUGGGAGCUUGAAAUUCGGGGGCACCCUUUCCCCAUUGAUGUCAUCCGUAAAGGGCGGAGCCCUCAUGUAGUCCGAAGCCAGUCCCCCGGGGCGCCGAGGUAGGCCCUCAGCUCGCUUCCCUAGCAGUCCCCGGGAAAACGCCCGGGAGAUGGAGGCUAGCUUAGAAGUCGCCUUGGAGGAGGCACGCCUGGAGGUACUCCGAGAGAGACGCCCCUCAUCGGAGUCUUCACCUGAAGGUGCCUCAGGGGACUUCGUCGGCCUCCUCUUGGAAGACUCGGCCUUUUCUUUCCCCUGUCUUUUGAGGUACCUUCCUAGCUCCUCAAAAAUGGUUGGGUUGUGUGAUACGAACUCGGCCAUCUUGGCGAUGGCCUCCUCGUUGUUAGGCUGGGUCCUUGGGGACCCUUGCUCUUCAGAGAUGCGAUCUUGCUGGGCUCCCGAGGUCUGCCCAGCCCCAGUUGAGGGAACUCGACCACUUCUGGAGCGCGUGGAUCUCAUUUUAGUAAUAGUAGUCUCGUUCCCACAGACGGCGCCAAUUGAGGAGGUGAUUUUUGGUUGGUAACUAGACCGACCUGGAUCAGUUCUUUUUGAGAUGAAGUGAGGUGAACUCCUGUGUCCGAAGUGAACCUCCUUGUCCGAAGUGAGUGGCGGGGCUUCUCCCCUGGUAUCACUCCGACGAUCAAGUUAGUAUGAGAACGAGAAUAAUGAGAAUGAAUUAAUGAACAGUGUAUGCUUACUUGUUGGGAGCGUGUCUGGGGUAUUUAUAGAAGAGAGGUGAUCAAUACGGAAGGCUCAUGCUAGCGGGACCCACUCUCUGGCAUUACGGCUCUGUCUCCUGCCAGGAGGUCUGACUCUGACACUGUAGCCGCCUGGGAGUGAUGACGGAGGAUAUGGUGCAGGUGCCAUUAAGUGCCUCCAGUGCUUUUCAGAUAAAGUGCUGGUCCUGGAUGAUGUCAGGUGGGUUGACAUCAUCAGCGUGCAGCCGAGGUGGAUGUGCCGAGGUCACCUACACGGUGGACUAGGGAUGAAGCCGAGCUCUGGGGUUGUGCUCAAGACAGGGAUGAGCUCCGGUGAGGGACGAGACUUGUGUUCACCUCGGACACCCGCGUGUCCGAGGUGAGCAUCCUCAGUACCCUAAGAAGAAGACAAUAAAAAAAAAAAUGCAGGGCUUACGUGAAGCACAAGAGACAUAAAUUAACUAGUGGAGUGCUACGUAACUUGAAGCUGCAUGCCAAGCUACAGGUGAAGAGAGUGCUGCUUCAUGUGAGACCUCCCUUUCAAAUGGGAUUCCAUGAAAUUUUCUUGUGCUUCGAUGAUGAUCAGUUCAUUACAAGUUAUAUAUAUAUAUAGAGCUACAGAUCGAAAGGGAAGGUGGGGGUCGACGAUCUCGCAGUUUGAGCUCCCCUAACCGAGAUUUUCCUCAAUAAUUAUUAUCCAAUGAAAGAAUAUAUUCUACCUGUGCUACAGGAGAGGAGAGUAGGGGCCCCGACUUAUCUUCUUCAGUCUUCAUCUCUUACAACUUGAUACGAUGGGAGAACAGAAUUUCAACGUAAAGAUGCCCUUCGAUCACUUUCUUGCCUCUGCUGCCUCUCGUGAAACUUAGAUGUUGGCAACUUGCCCGGAAUCAAUUUCCCUACAAAUCAAAUGCUUAACAGAUUUGUUUCCCCCCCCCCCCCUUUUUUUUGUUGGAUUAAAGAGGAAAGUAAACGUUAUAAAGAGGAGUACAUAGUAACGCCACUGACACAACAUCUGCUAGGCGACUUAGAGUCAACAUUAAAAUUGUAAUCAACUCCCCAAUGUGCUAAGAAUCAGCACAAUCAAUCAACUCCCCAAGUGUUUUUACAAUAACAUCCCUAAAAAAAAUAUAUAUAUAUAUAUAUAUAUAUCCCCGAGUGCCAACUUUCACAUUUGAGUGACAUUUUUUCUUAAUAAGAAGAAAAACUACACUGAUAAUCAUAUGUAAAUUAUUUGCAAAUUCAAACUGAAAUUUCUUACGCCAAAAAAUUUAAAAAAAAACACUGAAAAUGCAGAAAUUUGUUAAUAGUAUACAUUCAUGUGAGUCUUGACAACAUUGCGUGUUAAUAUUAUCCAGAUUUUGGCUUUCAGAUAAUUUGUUCGUUUUUUUUUGUCAAAAAUAAAGAACAAAAGAAGGAAAAAGCAAAAUGUUAAUCAGUUUGUUCUCAUUUGCUAUAGUUAAAAGAUUAGACAACUGUUGUGGUUUUGGCGCGGUUGGUUCGAACUUUUCUUUCUUUCUCUUUUUUUUUUUUUUUCUUUUUCAUUAAAUUGAACAAACUUUUUUUUUUUCUUUCUAUAAGGGCCUUGCUGUAUGUUGUACACGAAAUUAAGGAACUAAAUUACUAGUAUUACUCAGUUUGUUUCGUUUAUCCUUAGUUGAGAUAUUCCUAGAUAGCAAAGUGAGGAGUAUUUUCAGUUGGAAAUCUAAAUUUUUUUUAACCCUCCCUACACCCUUUCCAUCCUUGCCACUACUACAGCUACCCAAAAUAUGAUCGAUCUUCUGAUCGAGAACACCAUUUCUUAUCAAGAUCGUUCUGAGUUCCCCUUGGUCUUCCUUGUACCAUUCUAAGAUGCAUCUACAUAUAUCUUAAUGUAUAAUUAGCAACAGCCUUCAAGACUUCAAUGGCUGAGUUGACAAAAGAUUGAAAGCUUGCUGCUUUUGUUGCCCUGCUGGUCUUCUAAGCUGGCCAGAAAGGGUGUCUUGACAAAAAUCAUCAAGAAGCCAGAAAAAAGUUCGUCAUCCCUUGGCAUAGCACCUCAUAAAUUAGUACACAAUGUCUGAAUUUUCUUCAGGCCUUAGGAGAGGAGUACUAAAAGCCAACCAAAAAGUCAUAAAUUUAACCGAUGGUUACUUGAUUCCUCGUCAGACUUACACAAGAGCAAUAGACGCUUUAUUGAUUUUCUCCGGGAAAACAGAUCACAUGUUUUUCAUGUUAUUCGAUUUGGAAUGAUAUUCCAUUAAGUCAGAGUUUGAGUCUUGCUGAUCAAAAUCGUCGACUAAGGUAUUUUUAAGGUUAUGGACAAGAAAAAAUACAGGCUAGUUUUUGCUUUGAUGUUGUAGAACUAAACUUGUACACUAGUUUUUCUUCAAGAAAGCCAAUGAGAUUAAAAUGGCACUGCCUUUAGAGAGAGUAACUAAGUACCAGGUUUCAGCAUUGUCAAGGAGUGAUGUACUGUUGUGACUAGAGCAUAUUUGUCUCUUUAGAGAAUAACAAGGAUUAAUUCCAUUUUGCAUCCUUCAACUAUACCCAAAUUCUUUAAAAAAAAAAAAAAAAGCCUAUACCCGAAUUCUUACUUUGAUACCUGAACUUCAAAUGGAAUGCUUUAGUCUCUAAAGUAUAAAAUUUGUCACAUUUUAGUUCAAAAGAAGAAAACCUAUCCUAUUUUAUUUCUUUAAAUACAAAGUCAGUCCACUUUAGUUCUUAAAUUAUAAAAUCUAUACAAUUAAAUAUAAAAUUUGUUCCAUUUCUCUCAACGAUUUUGCUUAAGUGGGACAAAUUUUAUGUUUUAGCGAUCAAGUUUUUAAUUUUAAAAUUUAGGGAUCGAUGUGUACAUCUCAUGUACUUGAGAGGUGGAAAGUGAAAUUAACCCAAAAAAAUAACGAUGCAAUCAUCAUCUGGCAAGUUGGUCGUGAGUACGUGACGUAGCGUUCAUAUAAAUAUGGUAACCUGAUUACAGCUAGUUCAGGAAGUCGCCCCAAAAAAGAAAAGAUGAACAAAUUAAUGAGCAUGUAUUUGAUAACUACAAGAAUCUGAUCCAAAGCGCAAAACAAAAUUACAGGUAGAGAAUGAAAACUUCCAUAUUUUAACUCAGCGCUCGAGAACUUUAUAUUCAUCGUUAAAGAAAAAACUUUAUAUUCAUCUAUCCAAAACCUAUAACAUCAAUGGAUUCUUUUUCUCUUAGUCCAGGAGGGGAUUACCGAAUCGGCUUGAUGGAGGGUGCCAGGUAGUAAAAAUUCUGAAAGAGAAUGCCAAGAAUGACGAGGAAAGCCUGUCAAGUAGCCCGGACGACUCGCCUGCAAAUCCAUUAAUGAAGAAUUUACACUUGUACAUGGAUGGAUCUUGAAGGAUGAAGAGGCAAGCCAUCCUUGGCUACGAAACAGGACUCUCAGCCCCAUUCCAGGCAUUUCUUUCUAUAAAAUGUUAACCUCGAAUUAUAUCGAAAAGGUAUACAAGUGCACUCUUGACUGAUAACGAUCCCGAUAACUCAACGGAAAAGGGGUCUUGCGUGAAGAAAAAGAGACAUAUUAGUCAAGUGGCCGCCAAGGCCAAACAGCACGAGGCUUCUUCACGUAAGACCUCACUUUGGAAUUAUUGAGUUGGUCUUUUUCUUGUAUAUAUGCUGAUGAUCGUCUGUUUCAAGUGUCUAUUUAUAGCGACAGAAAAUGAAAGAUGAGAGGCUUCGGAAUUAGAUGAUGCGCAAGUUAGAGCUAGCUUGCUUCCCUAGCCAAAGUAACUUUCUUCACUAUUAUUUUCGUGAAAGAAUAAAUUCUCUUCCUGUUUCAGGGGUGCAGAGGACCCCAACUUAUCUAGUACCUCAUGUUCGUACAGCUGAAAGAUGAUAGGAGAGCUAGCCGAAUUUCAACGUAAAAGUCCCAUUAAUUCGCACGUUUUGUUGGCAACUUGCACCGAAUCAUUGCAAUAAGUGCAAUGAAUUUCCUUUUCCAUAUCUGGUCAAUGUUCAGUAGAAUCAUUGCAAUUAGCGCAUGGCUUGAAACCUGGGACCUCUUCAAAACCCGAGCAGCCAAAUAAGAGCCGGGGGGGGGAGGGGGGGUGGGUUUUUUUGGUGUAACUUUUCUUCCUUCGGCUAGUUCACUAAGUAAUGUGUAGGAUCAAACCAUGAUAUUAUCUGCUGUCAAAUUCCCAGUCACCCAGUUAUAUAACUUCUCAAUGUCCUGGACAUAUUACUGGCACUUGCAAAGUCACACUAAAGCCUUUCUACCCAAGAAAAAGAAAACUAAAGCUUUUCUUUUUCUUUUCGCUUUUUCCACUAAAGUUCAUGUUAAGGAAGAAUUUCAGUUGAAGGAAGAAAAUUCAGCAAAGCAGUAGCGUUAACUCGGAUGGCAAAGUCGUUCAUUUUUUUAUUAUUUCGGUGAAAUGUCAGUCAUUUGUGAACUUUUGGAGUUUGGACUUUUUUUUUUUUUUUUUUGGUAAAUAAAGAUGCAUUAAAAAUAAAAUCAAGUCAACAGAGUGCAAAUUAAGGUACAGUCAUCCGUGGGGAGGAAACCCCCUUUAAGUCUUGCAAAAGUAAGGGAAGUACAAAAUUAGGACAUAAUUCAAAAAAAGUGAAGUCUUGAGUGUUGCUUCUUCCCCAGUUGGCAAGGAUGUCUGCACAUUUGUUUGCUUCUCUAUAAUUAUGGUGAAAACAUACUUUCUGGAAUGUAGUCAAUAGCUCCCUGCAAUCAAGAAUAAUAGGUGCAAGUUCAUGAGAAAUAAGAUUAUUUGACUUACACAAGGAGAAUAUAAAGGCAGAGUCCAUCUCCACUUCGAGAGAGUGGAUGUUGAGAUUUUUCGCAAGUUGUAAGCCUUCUCUAAGAGCCCAACAUUCAGCAGAAGGAACUGAACAGAAGCCUAAAUUUCUUGCAAAGCCCGCAAUCCAUAUCCCAUUUGAGUCACGAAUUAUGCCACCAGCUCCUGCCUGGUUUGUUGGUCCAGAGACUGAACCAUCAGUAUUGAGCUUGGCGAAACCUAUAGCAGGGGGGGAUCCAUCUGAUGAAUUUUUCUUGUCUAGGGGAUCUGGAGAUAUGAGAACCAGGCCCUAGUAGGUAAAAUUCAUGAGCAUGGUGAAGACAAAACUUGAUAGGAUCAUCAAUUUUGUUUUUUUGAAAGAUCUUGGCAUUGCGAGCUUGCCAGAGGCUCCAACAACCAAAGCUAAAAAUGGUUCCCCAAGGAAUAAGGUUGAAAGGGGAAGGAAUGUUGGACGAGCAUCCAUCCUUGAUCCAGGAAUAGAAAUCCGAGCUGGUUUGGAGGGAGUUUUGGGAGGGAUGGGUGAGUUUAAGCCAGAAGGAGGUUGCUUGGGGACAAGAUCUUAGUAUGUGAUUCGAAUCUUCAGAAGGAGCUUGACAAAAAGGGCAAGAGGCUUCGGAAAGAAUUGUGCGAUGUGUGAGAAGACUUUUUGAAGGGAGUCUAUCCUGGGAUGCUAGCCAAAGGAAAUGCUUGACUUUUGAGGAGGUAUUAACUUUCCAAAUCCAGCGAAAAUGGGAUGGAGCUCUAGAAUCAACUGGAAAUAAGGGAGGAUUUUUGCAAAGGUUAUAAGCAGAUUUCGAGUUGAAAACCCCAUUGCUGGAGUAAUUCCACCUAAAGAAAUCAUGGGAUGGAUUGAGCUCUUGUCUUGGUGUACCCUUGAUCUCCUUCACGAGCUGGAGAGGAAGCUGGAAGGAUAUUCUAUCAAGGUUCCAACUGGUGGGGGAGUGAAAAAGUUGAAAAACUCUUAAGUCCUCUUCCCCCUCAGUUAGAGGUCCUUGGAUCUGGCUUCUGAUAGAGCCUGAUUGAAGCCAUUUGUCUCCCCAAAAUCUGACUAAAUGCCCAUCUCUGAUAGACCAAAUUAAACCUUCAUUGAAGGUUUUGAUCCCAAUGUUGGAGUUUGGACUGUUGAAGCCUGUCGAUGCGGUUGGAUUUGCAACGUUGUGAGUUUGUUUGGACAAAGAUAAUUUGAUUUGCAAAAUUUAUUCUCACAAAUCCCAAUCACCUUUUUAUCUCACAUACAUCACAUCACAAAAAGUGCUACAGUAAAUAUCUCAAAUAAAUCAUCCAAAUAAACUCUUAUCCAAACAAACUCGUGCUUCUUUUUCUUUUUCUUUUUUCUUUACAUGCUUCGUUGAGAUUAUCAGAUAAAAUUCUCUUUAAUUUGCUUUUUUAAUUAGCUGGGUUGACUUUAGAUUAGACUAUACCCAACUUUACCCAGUGGGUCUGAACGUUCACAUAAGUGCUGCUAUGCCUGCAGUCCUUUGCAUAAAUAAAACUGACAAUACGAAUCACGUCUGUUUUCUUUUCUCUCUGCCUGCUUUAUCCACUGGAUUUUAUCCUAACUUUAGGUGGGCUUGAUUCGUAUUAGAUUGGAGCGAUAAUGAGAUGUAUUCGAUAUUCUGUACCAAUAAAGAAGGUUAUACUGCAACAAUAGACACCUCAGCUGAUCUCUCGUUUCUAUUUCCCUAAUUCAUGCUUCUAGACGUCGUUGACCUAUGGGGGCAUCCUGUCCUGUCCUGUCCAGUUAGUUUCCGGUUAAACCUCUCUGAUUCUAGCUCAAUCUUCAUGCAUUAUUAUUAAGUACGAUUGCAGCUUGGAGAAAGUUCUAUAACAAAUUCUCAGUCAUCAAGAUGAUUUUAACAAUUCACUUGAUAAAAUCAAGAAAAUUUUCUAAGAUUUUAGAUGGGGCAAAAUAGCGGUUGUAAAUGAAAUUACCAGAAGUCCUUCGGGGUUAAAAAGCAUUAGCCAAAACUUGGGGCCGGCUGCUACCAACUCCUGCCGCAGUGGAUGUGCCCUUUAUUUUGUGGUAACUGUCAGUUCUAGGAACGCUGGUCCCGCGGGCCUUGCCUCAAAUGACUCCUUCAUAUUGUUUUGAGCCGUCAUCAAUAGUUUGAUUCGCCAACCAACCCAUUAAUUGGGAUCGUUCAUGCCUGAAUUCCAGACAACCUCUAUGCCUGUCGACAUGCUUGCCAAGGUAGACGGAGAUGGAAUUCCUUCGAAGCACCGUAUCAGAAGAGUGUGACAGCAUCAUGCAGAGACAGCCGCGCCGAAAAUGCGAGUGGAACAAAUACCCAGCUUUAGCACUACUACAUGCAUUUGUCUCGAUCAAAAGAGUAGAGAUUUUACAGCAAUCCAACUCUGGUACUGAAUCUUCUAGUAUUACAAUUUUGAGUGCUUCUAUCUACCUUUCUAAUUCACAGCGUACAGAAGUAGAGCUAGUCAACUUUUAGCACUUGCUACUGAAUAGUUUCUAGGACUUUUUAGACAUUGUCAAGCAUCUGCUUAGUUGCUAUCCAGUUGGUAUUGGCACAGUUCUAUACAUUCUAGAACAAUACCGAGGCCAGAUUCAAAACCGCAAUGAUUCUUCUUCUUCUUCUUUUUUUUUUUGUUUUUUUCCUUUUUAGUGAUACACCAACGCUGUAUGUGCUAUAUACUACAUUACUAAGAACGGGCCCUGGAUUUGUCUUUGAGCAAUUCUACCACUCUUCUCAUGGAGGGCCUGUUCAUUGGAAGAGAUGAAACGCACUGAAGGGCGACGUCUAAGACCACCCUAAUCUCUUCAAGCUCAGAUGUUGAUGGUUUCAACCUUGCAUCUACAAGGUGAUCCAAAUAGUCAGCACAAAUUUUGGCACUAUCGUUGGCUAUUGGUUGU
Molecule: long non-coding RNA, 12165 nt
Filed under: Coffea arabica (coffee)
Lineage: Eukaryota; Viridiplantae; Streptophyta; Magnoliopsida; Gentianales; Rubiaceae
Description: long non-coding RNA (CARA_LNC005204)
Source: RNAcentral